UGCGGCGUAGCUCAGCAGGUAGAGCGUCCGCCUGUUAAGCGGAAUGUCGCAGGUUCGAGCCAUGCCGCCGCAG
This 73-nucleotide transfer RNA is filed under the name Candidatus Moduliflexus flocculans. It matches the Rfam family "tRNA". From Rfam's summary of the family: Transfer RNA (tRNA) molecules are approximately 80 nucleotides in length. The record is from Rfam by way of RNAcentral. Lineage: Bacteria; Candidatus Moduliflexota; Candidatus Moduliflexia; Candidatus Moduliflexales; Candidatus Moduliflexaceae.